ACAUUAAAACACACACACACACACACACACACACACACACACACACACACACACAGCACUGGUCAGAGGGGAAGUUGCUGAAAAGCCUUCCCUGCAUCUGCUGACCUUUUAGACAGCUCCGGUUAAUCAUUUAUCCCUCUGGCCUAUCUGAUCAUCAAAGAUUAACUCCUCUCCAGCCCUGCUUCCAUGUUCUCUGGCCUCACCUUUGAGUUUCUGUCUGGGAUAAGAAUGGUGGCUUCUUGCCCGCUCCCCUUGACUGUUUUGACCUUCAGCACCCUGCCUGCAGGGAGCUGGCGAUGGAGAGCCCUUGUCUGUGGAAUCCCAAGAAUCAAGCACGCUGAAGGAUUGGGCUUGGGGAUCCUCUCCAGCCAGCCCAGACACCCACAGGUCAGAGACUCUGCCUCUGGGCACCCAGAAGGAUCAGACUGUCAGCUGGUAAGGAGCUGGUCACGGAGAGUGCGAUCGGUAUGCUUUGCUUUGAGCAUCCAUGAUGUACCUUCCCUGCAUUCAGCUGGACUCUGGGCUUUUUCAUUAUAACUGAGGGAAUCCCCAUUUCAGUUACCUGGGAGAUCACAGGCAGUGGGUGGGGAGUGUGAGAGAUCUGAGAAGAAGGAUACUGAAGACAGAAGCUGGAAGGAUCCCAGGGCAUUUGCUCUAGGCUUUUAUAAGAAGGUGUCUGUCUGCCUGAUCCACCCUUCAAAGGCCUUUGGGAAGACCAAGAAUGGGACACAACCUGCCUCGUGCUCCCACUUGUGCCUGCCCCCCAACACUUGCCCAUUAGAGGACUUCCCCUGCCCAGCCCUC
Molecule: long non-coding RNA, 804 nt
Organism: Octodon degus (degu)
Lineage: Eukaryota; Metazoa; Chordata; Mammalia; Rodentia; Octodontidae
Exons: 3
Source: RefSeq, a predicted model, not a curated record